Chenopodium quinoa (quinoa) is the source of this 1273-nucleotide long non-coding RNA. RefSeq lists it as uncharacterized. The record is from RefSeq and is a predicted model, not a curated record. NCBI's taxonomy places the organism in Eukaryota, Viridiplantae, Streptophyta, Magnoliopsida, Caryophyllales, Amaranthaceae. The transcript has 3 exons.
GGUAGCAGAGGGGAGGGGGAGGGGGUGGGUGAGGAAGAGAGUAUAAAAGGCAAAACUUGCUGGACUGUGCUUAGGAACAGUGUUUGUGGUUUCUAUUACAGAAAUGAAAUGUUCUCAGCUUUAUUACCCUUGAACUCUUUCUUACUCCUCAGCUGGUCAGCCCUUACCUUUCUCCUUCAAUCUCUCUCUCUCUCCUCAGAGAAAGUUCGGAGGUUUUAGGGUAGUCACUCAUCCAGUCAUCCUAGAGAACGCCUCCCUACGACGGUUGUUUGGGCCACCCCUUUCAUUGGCUGCGACAGAAAGGCGGUUUUUUUUUUUAUUCAAUUUGUUAUAAUAUUUUUAUGGUUCACUGGAGUUUUUGCUUUGUAUGCGUGUUUGUUGAUCUUGUUUUUUCGAAUUUGAUACAGAAAUUGAGCUGUAUAGACCUUGAUCGGGUACAAUUUGGUGUUACCUUUGAAGAUAUCAAACCCAAAUCAGCAACACAUCAUCGACAACCGCAACAAUGGAAAGAGGACAAAGCAACGGUGGCUGACCUGUGGGCGCGAUCAGGAGGAGCCGCAACAACGUCUAAGAAAAAGACGGAACAAGGACAGUGAAUAUGAAAGCAAGAAAUACAACACCUUAAAUUAAAUAAGCUCCUGUUUGAAGGAAUAUCGCUGAAUAUGGGUAUUAUUGCUGCUAGUUUUUUGAAGCUUGUUUGUGAUUACUCGCUGUAUGAGACUAGAGUAUUCAAUACCCACUUGAAAAAGAUGCUACAUGGAGCUGCCCACCUGAAGGUAUAAUUAAAAUAAAUGUUGACGCUCACUUUGGUGCUGGCACAAGUGGUGGUCUAGGUGCUGUUGCGAGGGAUCACUUUGGCCGCAUAUUAUGGGCUGCGGAUAAGAAGACUCCUAUGGACUGGAAUGUGGAAUUGGCGGAGGUGGCUGCUGUUAGGGUGUCAAAUGGCUAAGAGAUUGGGUUACGAAAGUGUAUGAUCAGGAGUCAAAAGGGAGUAGGGGAAGGGUAAUCAACACCAUUAGAGGGUCUGCUGCUAGAUGGUCUCCUAUAAGGCUUAUUUACGAUGAUGUACGUAGAAUAGUUAUGUCUUUUAAUACUUGUAUAUUUUCUCAUGUAAAAAGAGCAUAUAAUUAAUUAUACGGUUGCCCAUUUAGUGGCUAGGUGGGACACUAGUAAGUGCUCCGAGAAAGUUUGUAUGGGUUCUUUCCCCUAAGGUCUUCUAUCCUUCGCAGAACUUGACUUAAAUUAAUGAAAUGCUCUAAGUCAGUGCUUGGUA